UACGAGUGCCCCAAGCGUUAUCCGGAAUCACUGGGCGUAAAGGGUGUGUAGGUGGCCUUGUUAGUCUUCUGUUAAAUUCUUCGGCUCAACCGGGGGUCUGCAGAGGAAACGGCAAAGCUUAGAGGAUGCGAGAGGUUUGCGGAACUCAUGGUGUAGGGGUGAAAUCCGUUGAUAUCAUGGGGAACACCGAAAGCGAAGGCAGCAAACUGGCGCACUCCUGACACUGAAACACGAAAGCGUGGGUAGCGAAUGGG
RNAcentral lists this ribosomal RNA (254 nucleotides) under uncultured bacterium. Its description in RNAcentral is "partial 16S ribosomal RNA". It matches the Rfam family "Bacterial small subunit ribosomal RNA", at positions 524 to 776 of the family's 1533-position model. The record is from RNAcentral.